Molecule: transfer RNA, 64 nt
Filed under: Flavobacteriaceae bacterium
Lineage: Bacteria; Pseudomonadati; Bacteroidota; Flavobacteriia; Flavobacteriales; Flavobacteriaceae
Description: tRNA-Ser
Rfam family: tRNA
About the family: Transfer RNA (tRNA) molecules are approximately 80 nucleotides in length.
Source: RNAcentral
GGAGAAAUUAAAAAGCGCUUGAUUGGCAGUCAAGAGGUCAUGGGUUCGAAUCCCAUCUUCUCCA